UGGUAAUGCCGGAUGCUCCAUCACACCGCAUGGUGUGUUGGGAAAGCCUUUGCGGCAUGGGAUGGGGUCGCGUCCUAUCAGCUUGAUGGCGGGGUAACGGCCCACCAUGGCUUCGACGGGUAGCCGGCCUGAGAGGGCGACCGGCCACAUUGGGACUGAGAUACGGCCCAGACUCCUACGGGAGGCAGCAGUGGGGAAUAUUGCACAAUGGGCGCAAGCCUGAUGCAGCGACGCCGCGUGAGGGAUGGAGGCCUUCGGGUUGUAAACCUCUUUUGUUAGGGAGCAAGGCAUUUUGUGUUGAGUGUACCUUUCGAAUAAGCACCGGCUAACUACGUGCCAGCAGCCGCGGUAAUACGUAGGGUGCAAGCGUUAUCCGGAAUUAUUGGGCGUAAAGGGCUCGUAGGCGGUUCGUCGCGUCCGGUGUGAAAGUCCAUCGCUUAACGGUGGAUCCGCGCCGGGUACGGGCGGGCUUGAGUGCGGUAGGGGAGACUGGAAUUCCCGGUGUAACGGUGGAAUGUGUAGAUAUC
This 527-nucleotide ribosomal RNA is filed under the name Bifidobacterium breve. RNAcentral's name for it is "bacterial SSU rRNA". It matches the Rfam family "Bacterial small subunit ribosomal RNA", at positions 161 to 698 of the family's 1533-position model. The record is from RNAcentral. Lineage: Bacteria; Bacillati; Actinomycetota; Actinomycetes; Bifidobacteriales; Bifidobacteriaceae.